This 468-nucleotide ribosomal RNA is filed under the name uncultured bacterium. Its description in RNAcentral is "partial 16S ribosomal RNA". It matches the Rfam family "Bacterial small subunit ribosomal RNA", at positions 28 to 507 of the family's 1533-position model. The record is from RNAcentral.
GACGAACGCUGGCGGCGUGCUUAACACAUGCAAGUCGAACGGAAAGGCCCUGCUUUUGUGGGGUGCUCGAGUGGCGAACGGGUGAGUAACACGUGAGUAACCUGCCCUUGACUUUGGGAUAACUUCAGGAAACUGGGGCUAAUACCGGAUAGGAGCUCCUGCUGCAUGGUGGGGGUUGGAAAGUUUCGGCGGUUGGGGAUGGACUCGCGGCUUAUCAGCUUGUUGGUGGGGUAGUGGCUUACCAAGGCUUUGACGGGUAGGCGGCAUGAGAGGGGGACCGGCCACAUUGGGACUGAGAUACGGCCCAGACUCCUACGGGAGGCAGCAGUGGGGAAUAUUGCACAAUGGGCGGAAGCCUGAUGCAGCAACGCCGCGUGCGGGAUGACGGCCUUCGGGUUGUAAACCGCUUUCGCCUGUGACGAAGCGUGAGUGACGGUAAUGGGUAAAGAAGCACCGGCUAACUACGUG